RNAcentral lists this transfer RNA (77 nucleotides) under Escherichia coli. Its description in RNAcentral is "tRNA-Val". Lineage: Bacteria; Pseudomonadati; Pseudomonadota; Gammaproteobacteria; Enterobacterales; Enterobacteriaceae. RNAcentral also lists the same sequence under 514 other names. The record is from RNAcentral.
GGGUCCGUAGCUCAGUUGGUUAGAGUACUACCUUGACAUGGUAGGGGUCGGCGAUUCGAGUUCGCCCGGACCCACCA